GAUUCCCUCAGUAGCUGCGAGCGAACAGGGAAGAGCCCAGCACUGAAUCCCGCGUCCGACACCGGACGCCGGGAAAUGUAGUGUUUGGGAGGAUCCAUUUAUCCCGAGAUCGUGCAAUGCGUCCAAGUCCUUCUUGAACGGGGCCACAGCCCAUAGAGGGUGCCAGGCCCGUAGCUGACCACUGCCGAUAGCGGGAGGAUCUCUCCUCAGAGUCGGGUUGCUUGAGAGUGCAGCCCUAAGUGGGUGGUAAACUCCAUCUAAGGCUAAAUAUGACCACGAGACCGAUAGCGAACAAGUACCGUGAGGGAAAGUUGAAAAGCACUUUGAAGAGAGAGUUCAAGAGUACGUGAAACCGUUCAGGGGUAAACCUGAGAAACCCGAAAGGUCGAAAGGGGAAAUUCAUUCGUGUCUCGAUACUGGCAAUUAAUGGUUGUAUGACAAAUGUUGUUCGCAACAAGUUGCAUCAAUUGUUUUUUGGUCCAGUUGUCGAAUGCGUGCACUUUUCCCCUAGUAGGACGUCGCGAUCCGUUGGGUGUCGGUCUAAGGCCCAUAGUGGAGCCCGUAUGUACGGUUUACGCCGUUUAACGUAUGGACCUAUGGUGUUUCCCGGCCGGCUCGCUCGACGGUAUACAGAUGGCGCGGAGCCGCGAUUUAGUUCGCGUUCGGCCCAUGGCAAGCGCGUACGGUGUUUGUUGGCGAUCGGACCUAGUGCCGAUCCUGACCCCGGACGACUGUUGGCUGUGGUGUUCUCGAACAGACUCCGUUGAAACGCCGAUCUGCGGCGCUAUAGCUUUGGGUACUUUCAGGACCCGUCUUGAAACACGGACCAAGGAGUCUAGCAUGUGCGCGAGUCAUUGGGACAUGACUAAACCUAAAGGCGCAAUGAAAGUAAAGGUUCGUUUUACACGAACCAAGGGAAGAUGAGUGGUUUGCCCUUAAAGUGGCYACUCCGCAUUCCCGGGGCGUCUCAUUCUCAUCGCGAGAAGAGGCGCACCAAGAGCGUACACGCUGGGACCCGAANNNNNNNNNNNNNNNNNNNNNNNNNNNNNNNNNNNNNNNNNNNNNNNNNNNNNNNNNNNNNNNNNNNNNNNNNNNNNNNNNNNNNNNNNNNNNNNNNNNNCCUAUUCUCAAACUUUAAAUGGGUGAGAUCUCCGGCUUGCUCGAACUUGAAGCCGUGAGAACACUUUUUACGGAUCAGAGUGCCAAGUGGGCCAUUUUUGGUAAGCAGAACUGGCGCUGUGGGAUGAACCAAACGCUGAGUUAAAGCGCCUAAAUCGACGCUUAUGGGAUACCAUGAAAGGCGUUGGUAACUUAAGACAGCAGGACGGUGGCCAUGGAAGUCGGAAUCCGCCAAGGAGUGUGUAACUACUCACCUGCCGAAGUUACUAGCCCUGAAAAUGGAUGGCGCUGAAGCGUCGUGCUUAUACUCAGCCGUCAGUGGCAUGUGCGGUCGCACCUUGCAAAAUAGGUGGGCCAUGAAGCCCUGACGAGUAGGAGGGUCGCGGCGGUGAGCGCAGAAGGGCUGGCCGUGAGGCCGUCUGGAGCCGCCGUCGGUGCAGAUCUUGGUGGUAGUAGCAAAUACUCCAGCGAGGCCCUGGAGGACUGACGUGGAGAAGGGUUUCGUGUGAACAGCCGUUGCACACGAGUCAGUCGAUCCUAAGCCCUAGGCGAAAGCCGAUGUUGAUGUGGUGUUUUUUAUUUAUAAUUUUUAUUUUUGAAUUAUUAAAAAUAAUUGUACACACCCAUUGGGCGAAAGGGAAUCCGGUUCCUAUUCCGGAACCCGGCAGCGGAACCGUCAAUAAGUCGGGCCCUCGCAAGAGAGUUCGUCGGGGCAACCCAAAAGGACCCGGAGACGCCGUCGGGAGAUCCGGGAAGAGUUUUCUUUUCUGCAUGAGCGUUCGAGUUCCAUGGAAUCCUCUAGCAGGGAGAUAUGGUUUGGAACGCGAAGAGCACCGCAGUUGCAGCGGUGUCCGGAUCUUCCCCUCGGACCUUGAAAAUCCGGGAGAGGGCCACGUGGAGGCGUCGCGCCGGUUCGUACCCAUAUCCGCAGCAGGUCUCCAAGGU
RNAcentral lists this ribosomal RNA (2064 nucleotides) under Myrabolia sp. CO1018. Its description in RNAcentral is "partial 28S ribosomal RNA". It matches the Rfam family "Eukaryotic large subunit ribosomal RNA", at positions 73 to 1874 of the family's 3401-position model. Lineage: Eukaryota; Metazoa; Arthropoda; Insecta; Coleoptera; Myraboliidae. The record is from RNAcentral.